CUGUGUAGUGUAGUAGGAGAGAUCGAGACCAUUCGGAAUACGAGGGUUUGUUUUGACUGCCUUUUCAAAACAUACUAUACACUGCACUAGCGUCGGUAAAUGCAAGCGGAUUCCAUGUGCAUUUUGGUGGCGCCUUUGGUGGUUGCAAUGGAUGUGUAUUGCUGUUGACAAUUCGAGGGAUUCAUCGGUCAGACACGACAGGAAGAUAAUUAUGUGAAACAACCAUUGACAUAUCUCAUGUGGUUUAAAAGAGAGACCUGGAUACCCAGACACCAGAUUGGACACUGAACGAACGAACGGUGCUAGCAAGGCCAUAGGAAAUACGUUCAAACUCCAGAUAUUGAAGACCUCGCGCCACACUGACAGUGACAGUAUUCUGACCUGCCAUGGAUCCUAACCCAGACUACCCCCUCGUUCCCUAUGAACAUCCGUCAUGGACUUCAACAAUUAAACAGGAUAUGAUCCCGAAAUACAGACUUAAGCUUGGAGUUUUACACACACCCAUCCAGCGUUGGCGCUUGCCCGACAUACCGGAUGACUUUGAAGUGUUCGUUAAACGUGAUGACAUGACAGGAAGUGUUCUAACAGGCAACAAGGUUCGCAAGCUUGAGUUUCUAAUGGCUGAUUGCGUGCAUAAAGGCUGCCAGGCCAUCAUAGCAUGCGGAGGAAUCUUUUCAAAUUCUUGUAGAGCAGCAGCCAUAGCAGCAAGACAGAUGGGUUUCGACAGCCAUCUACUCCUAUGGUCAAAAGGAACGGAGAUGCCUUUCACGGGGAAUGCACUUCUCGAUAGGUUGGUUGGGUGUAACUUUUACUUGAUGCCGAAAGAUUGCCCAUUCCAGACAGAUGUUUAUCCCCGUAUGCAUCAGCUCCAUGAUCAUAUCUUUAAAACAUCAGGGAAGAAAGCUUAUGAGAUUCCUUUUGGUGGGACCAAUGAAAUAGGAGUGUGGGGUUACAUCGACUGUUUUCAUGAACUCAUGGGUGAGGGACUAUUUGAAUCCGGUUUCACUGAUAUCGUGAUAGCUGGCGGAAGUGGAGGGUCUGUAAUUGGUCUAGGUAUAGCAAACUACCUGACUGGAAGUAAAUUAAAAAUUCAUGGGAUGGCUGCGUGUCUUGAUAAAGAAUAUUUCCACAACGAAGGCGAUAAGAUUCUCAGGGCACUCGGUCUGCAGGAGGAGGGUGGUUCAGGUGUUAAAACGAAAGACAUUGUCCAGUUUGCUGAAGUCGUGGGCAUUGGAUAUGGCAUCAACACGCCAGAGGAAAUGGAAUGUAUAGAGAAGAUCGCCACAACGACUGGUAUAUUCGUUGACCCAGUUUAUUCAUCAAAGGCUGCUUACCAUCUUAUCAAGAUGAUGAAUGAGAGUCAAGAUUCACUAAAAGGAAAGAAAAUACUCUUCAUCCAUACAGGUGGCGUAUUUGAUCUUUUCAGCGGCGUCUUUGCUUCCAGGAUGAAUGCAAAAUCUUCAGCUCAAAACAGGGUACACGAUUGGAUGGAACUCACCGACAAAGUACCAACCUGUCAAUGAAUCAAUGGUGACAUAGGCUUUAGAAGAUAUCUCACAAGAAAAAAGUUCUCAUCUACGUUAUAAACCAAUGAAUGUAGACGGCGUGAGUACAAUGGCGCAGAGCACUUUGUUGCUGCCCUCUAAAUUCGUUGGUAAAAACUUUAUAUUUUGAUUGAAAAACUUACUGAACGUUGAUAUCAUCAUGUAGGUCCAUGAUAUCAUUAAUUCAUGCUCUACCCUUGUCAUUUUGUCUUCCAUGAAAAUAACUAACCGGCAAUAAAAAUAUGAAAAUGGGCAAUAUAUUUUCCAUUUUAGGAGAGUUUAAGAUUAUCAAAGUGAAUAUCCCUCUUUUAUUAGUUCAUGGAAUUUACCGCCAAAUUUGAAAUUGUAGAAACAAAUUGAAUUAAAAAAAAUCAAGAAGAAUAAAUGAUUUUUAAUGAAGAUUAAAUGAUUUAAAAGAGGAGGCGCGAAAGCUCAGUCGGUAGCGGGGGGAUUCGUAUUCUGGUGACCCGGGUUCGAUUCCCACUUGGGGAUGAAAAAGAAGUGAAAGGGAGGGGGUCGAGGAAAAAACAUCUGAUAUGCCUAAUUGAUCAAUUCAGAAGACAUUAUUUCUACGAUAUUGGUGUUUGAUUUUGAUUUUCUUUU
This 2147-nucleotide unclassified non-coding RNA is filed under the name Lytechinus variegatus (green sea urchin). RNAcentral describes it as "bifunctional D-cysteine desulfhydrase/1- aminocyclopropane-1-carboxylate deaminase, mitochondrial- like, transcript variant X1". The record is from RNAcentral. Lineage: Eukaryota; Metazoa; Echinodermata; Echinoidea; Temnopleuroida; Toxopneustidae.